This 318-nucleotide long non-coding RNA is filed under the name Hordeum vulgare. RNAcentral's name for it is "long non-coding RNA (HVUL_LNC016872)". Lineage: Eukaryota; Viridiplantae; Streptophyta; Magnoliopsida; Poales; Poaceae. The record is from RNAcentral.
GGACGGGCGUGCAGAGCAGCUCCUUUGGCAGGUCCGGGAUGCCCUUGAGGUAGAAAGUGUAGAAGAUCUUGAAGGGGAAGACGAUCUGGUUGAGCUUGACCUGCCCGUAGACGCCCUCGAAGACGCCGGAGCCUCCUGUGACGGCGAGGUAGGACUCCUCGUAGGUGAGGUAGGGCCCCUGCAGGCUGAUGUGGCCGUAGUCGCCGAAGUACAUGCUGUAGAUGGCCUCGUAGCGGUCGCCGUUGCGCUCCGGCACGUGCUGGAUCAGGAUGCAGAUCCCCGCCGUGAUCCCGAUCCGCUUGUCCAGGCUCCCGUUGU